RNAcentral lists this ribosomal RNA (506 nucleotides) under uncultured bacterium. RNAcentral describes it as "partial 16S ribosomal RNA". It matches the Rfam family "Bacterial small subunit ribosomal RNA", at positions 28 to 523 of the family's 1533-position model. The record is from RNAcentral.
GAUGAACGCUAGCUACAGGCUUAACACAUGCAAGUCGAGGGGUAACGAGAGGAAAGCUUGCUUUCCUUGUCGACGACCGGCGCACGGGUGAGUAACGCGUAUCCAACCUGCCCCCAACUAGGGAAUAACCUUGCGAAAGUAAGACUAAUACCCUAUAAUUUCCUCAGAUGUCAUCUGACGAGGAAUAAAGAUUUAUCAGUUGUGGAUGGGGAUGCGUCUGAUUAGCUCGUUGGCGGGGUAACGGCCCACCAAGGCAACGAUCAGUAGGGGUUCUGAGAGGAAGGUCCCCAACAUUGGAACUGAGACACGGUCCAAACUCCUACGGGAGGCAGCAGUGAGGAAUAUUGGUCAAUGGGCGGAAGCCUGAACCAGCCAAGUAGCGUGCAGGAUGACGGCCCUAUGGGUUGUAAACUGCUUUUAUACAGGAAUAAAGUUAGCCACGUGUGGUUAUUUGUAGGUACUGUAUGAAUAAGGACCGGCUAAUUCCGUGCCAGCCGCCGCCGUAA